GAUGAACGCUAGCUACAGGCUUAACACAUGCAAGUCGCGGGGGCAGCAAUGAACUUGGCUUGCCAGGUUUUGAUGGCGACCGGCGCACGGGUGAGUAACGCGUAUCCAACCUGCCCAUGUCCACGGGGAUAGCCCGUCGAAAGGCGGAUUAAUACCGUAUGAGGUCACACGAUGGCGAUCAGAAUGUGACGAAAGGUUUGGCGGACAUGGAUGGGGAUGCGUCCGAUUAGCUAGUUGGCGGGGUAAC
Molecule: ribosomal RNA, 247 nt
Filed under: uncultured bacterium
Lineage: Bacteria
Description: partial 16S ribosomal RNA
Rfam family: Bacterial small subunit ribosomal RNA
Source: RNAcentral